UCCGGGGUAGCUCAAUCGGCAGAGCAUUCGGCUGUUAACCGAAGGGUUGUGGGUUCGAAUCCCACCCCCGGAG
Molecule: transfer RNA, 73 nt
Filed under: Actinomycetota bacterium
Lineage: Bacteria; Bacillati; Actinomycetota
Also listed under: 1 other name
Description: tRNA-Asn
Rfam family: tRNA
About the family: Transfer RNA (tRNA) molecules are approximately 80 nucleotides in length. Their secondary structure includes four short double-helical elements and three loops (D, anti-codon, and T loops).
Source: RNAcentral